AUUUCCGGUUGAUCCUGCCGGUGCUGCCGCCCAUGCCCCAGUUUGACGGGCUUUCCCUGCAGAGCUGGAUUGUGGUUGCCCAGCAGGUACUGAUCGGCUCCCUGCUGGGCUUUGCCGCCAAUAUCCUGUUGCAGAGCUUUGUACUGGGUGGUCAGAUCAUGGCGAUGCAGAUGGGACUGGGCUUUGCCUCCAUGACGGACCCGGCCAACGGGGUGAAUACGGUGAUCCUGUCUCAGAUCUAUCUGAUGCUGGUCAUGCUGCUGUUUCUUGGCAUGAAUGGUCACCUGGUGCUGAUCGAAAUCAUGGUAAAGAGUUUCAGCGUAAUCCCCAUCGGCAUGGAAGGUGUCAAUAAAAUGACGCUUUGGGAGCUGGCCAAUUGGGGCAGCUGGCUGUUCAUGGCGGCCCUGCUGAUGGCGCUGCCGGCGGUCACGGCACUGCUGGUGAUCAACUUUGCCUUUGGUAUCAUGACCAAGGCGGCGCCUCAGCUCAAUAUCUUCGCCAUCGGCUUCCCGUUUACCAUGCUGAUGGGCGUUUUUAUUGUCUGGGUCAGCCUGUCCGGGUUUUUCAGUCACUAUCAGGCCUUUGCAGCAGACGCGCUGGAAAAUGUCAGUCAGCUGCUGAAGGCGGGGCGCUGACGACAUGGCGGAAGAAACAGGCCAGGAAAAAACGGAACAGCCAACGGAGAAGCGGAUCCGGGACGCGCGGCAAAAGGGGGACAUACCGCGCUCGCGGGAGCUGUCCGCCAUGGCCCUGCUGCUGGCAGCGGCGGCCUCGGCCAUGCUGUUCGGGCAGAAUGUGGCUGCCACCCUGGGGGCGAUCAUGCGGGAGAGUUUCAGCCUUGAUCGGCGUGAUGCCUUUGAUACCGCUCGCAUGUUUGCUCAUCUGGGGGAUGCUCUUUACGAAGGUUUCUUCAGCCUCUGGGGGUUUUACCUGCUUACCCUGCUGGCUGCCCUGUUGAGUCCCAUUGCGCUGGGAGGGUGGAACUUCAGUGGCCAGGCGCUGCAGCCCAAGGGAAGCCGCAUCAACCCGCUCAGCGGGCUCAAGCGGAUGUUCUCCCUCAAGGCACUGGUGGAGCUGUUCAAGGGGCUGGCCAAAUUCCUGCUGGUGGGCUCUUUCGCUAUCCUGGUGCUCUGGCAGGAUCAACCGGAAAU
RNAcentral lists this ribosomal RNA (1151 nucleotides) under uncultured marine crenarchaeote. RNAcentral describes it as "partial 16S ribosomal RNA". The record is from RNAcentral. Lineage: Archaea; Thermoproteati; Thermoproteota.